Olea europaea var. sylvestris is the source of this 667-nucleotide long non-coding RNA. RefSeq lists it as uncharacterized. Lineage: Eukaryota; Viridiplantae; Streptophyta; Magnoliopsida; Lamiales; Oleaceae. The transcript has 3 exons. The record is from RefSeq and is a predicted model, not a curated record.
UUCACUUUAUCCCUAAAAGCUGACAGUAAAUUAAUUAAGCAGAUGUUAAUUACUCAUUAACAUUAAUAUUCUGUGAAAAUUUUGAAUUAAUUUUUGUUUGUUGAAUUGAAUCUUUACAGUUCAUUUGUGCGUACUAUGUUAAGGUUCCUUUUUAGCUGCUGUUAGUGAUAGGCACGCCUGGCAGGCAACUCACCAUCAUUCCCUCCACCCCGCACAAGCUUUCCUCUCCAUCUCUCUCUCUCUCUCACACUCACGCACUCACUAUAAGAAAAAAAUAAUUCUCGCGGUCUCAAAAUUCUCCGGUUUUUCCUUCCUACUUCAGAACCCACUCUUUUAUUUUUAUUUAUUUAUUUUUGUUAAACAAUUGGAUUAAUUUCGUCAUUAGAUUGGAUCGAUUGGGUUUGGUUCACAAUUAAUUUCAUCGAGAAAGCUAAUGACCAUUGAAGGUUUUUGCGGUCUUGUUUCGGUAGAAGUUGAAUAUAGGAAACUUUGAAGAAGUCAGGCUAACAACAUGUCUGUUUCAAUGAGAGAUGUGGAUCCAGCUUUUCAUGGGGCAGGACAAAAGGCUGGCAUUGAGAUAUGGUGGAUUGAAAAUUUUAAACCAGUCCCAGUCCCAAAAUCUUCUUAUGGUAAAUUUUUUAAAGGCGAUUCCUAUGUGAUUCUUAAG